Lolium perenne is the source of this 561-nucleotide non-coding RNA. The record is from RefSeq and is a predicted model, not a curated record. NCBI's taxonomy places the organism in Eukaryota, Viridiplantae, Streptophyta, Magnoliopsida, Poales, Poaceae.
GUGCUCUCGCUCUCGGGUACUGGCCUAACCGGCUACGAGCCACCUGGACAUGCUUCGGCGGCAGCUCGUCGUCCUGCUCCGCGUGCAUCGCUGCCGGCUUCCAGGAAUCGGAGGCAGAGUGCCCCUACAGCAAGGAGUUCUUCUUCUCCGAUGGCGACUGCUGCGAGCUCCAUGUCGCCGACUUCCUUGCUUUCGAGCACUUCUUCCGCCCCACUCUGACCGAAAGCGUGGCUCUGGUAGUGGCGGUCCAAGCUGUAGCCUUUGCAUUUCUUCUCUUCUUGUUCCUUCUGCAGGAAUGGCGUCAUAGGUCUGAUGCGUUUCAGUCCUCUUCCAUCAGCAGAUAAAUAAUUGAUAAACUUGGUACAAUUUCAGCACCGACAGGAAUAUAACGUGUAUGCUUGAAUAAAAUAUGUAUGUUUUCCAUAAAGCUUGAGAGGUUUCACGAUCCGCCUUUUGUCUCCCCAAAGGUACAAACAAUUUGGACUACCCACUUCGCUUAUUAUGUUUGUGGUUAGUGAUUAUGUUGUCUAUAUAUGCUCCAAGGUUCCCUUUUCACUGAAA